CCUCAGUUUUUAAGAUGCCGAUCUGAAAUUUUGCACACAUCUUUUUCUCCCAAAGAUUCUGCUCAUUUGUGAGAACCGCCGAUAUCGGACCACUAAAGCUGCCAUACAAAUUGAAGGGUCAAAGUCAAGUCCUUGUAUGAAAAACGUAUUUAUUGUACUUGUCGCGAUAACUUCAAGAAAUUUGGUAUGGAUUAUUUUACAAGCCAAUGCUACAAUAUACUUUUCAGAUUGGAUACUAUAACAUUAACCGUUUAAAAUAAAGUCCUUGAAUAAAAAACAUUUUAGAUCGUUUUCCAAAACAACGCCACAAUUGCCAUGUAUUCAUAUCGUUAAGUUCCCGUAUGGAAACGCUUUUUUGUAAAGGGUAUUAUAGUUUCGAUGUAACCGAAGUUAACGUUUUUUCUUGUAUUCUUAUUAAGUCAUUAAAUUAAAAGUAAUCAUUAUUAUCUGUCUCCGCUUCAACUGUCAAAUUUUUAGGAAAGGAAGGCAAAACAUACACUUACAAUGCUAAAUACUCAAUUUCUUUCACUUAAAGCAAUUCAAUAACAAAUUUAAAAGAAUAAAGAAGAAAAGCAAGAAAAAAUUCGAGCAAGUUGAACAUCAAAAGCUAUUCUAUAUUCAAGCAAUAUGAAGUAACAUAGAAGUAUUAAAAAAAAUUUACAAAAUACGCGUUUCGUAUCCAUAAAAUGAUAGCGACAGCAAAUUUUUGUACAGUUUUUAUGUACAUCGACUUGCCAUAAAUUCUGUUACAAAGUUUACAAUGCAUUGAUCGUUUUUCCCAAACGUCUACAAUUGGUGCCAGAAAGAGAAGUGGUCGUCCUUGUGUGAUUCGAACCCAUUCAGCCAUAAAAACUGUUAGCGAACGAAUUCGUAGAAAUCCCCUUAGAAAACAGCAAAUUAUGUCAAGUGAAAAAAAUGUAUCGAUCAGACCAAUAUCAAGACUUACAUGAAACAUGAAAGUAUCCUUUUUACAAAUGAAAAAAAUGUCACUGUUGAAGAAGUUUUUAAUAAAAAAAACGACAAAAUCAACGCCAAAACUUUCAAAGGCGCAAAAUAUAAUAUUCCAAAAUACAUGGGGACCAUUCAUCUGCUUUAAUAUUUUGGUGAGGAGUCUCGUGCAAAGGCGUUACACCUCCUCACAUCUGUGAAAAAAGGGUUAAAACUAAGGCAAAAGUGUACCAGCGGGAUGUUUUAGAAGGCGUGAUAAAGCAGUUAAACAAUACUCUCUUCGAUGGAGAGCAUUGUAUCUUCCAGCAAGAUUCUGCUCCAGCCAUCCAAGGCAAAAACGACCCACUAGUGUCUUAAAAGCAAUAUUCCUGGUUUCAUAAAUGCAGAUGAUUGGUCCUCUGGAAGUCCAGAUUUGAAUGCAAUGGACUACAGUUUGUGGUCUGAGUUGGAACACAUGGCCUAACGAAUAUCUAACAGAAAUUUAUAGAGUCUCAAAAUAUCUUUGGUUUGGGCAGCGUGGUUAAUACCAAUAGAAACUGUGCGUACUGCUAUUGAUCAAUGUCCGAAUCGUUUGAGGGCUUGUGUAAAAGCAAAAGAUGACCAUUUCGAAUCAAAUUUUGUAUAACACCCAUUUAAUAUAUGAAUUAUUAAAUAAACUUAACUUUAUUAAAAAUGUA
Non-coding RNA from Bactrocera oleae (olive fruit fly), 1625 nucleotides. Lineage: Eukaryota; Metazoa; Arthropoda; Insecta; Diptera; Tephritidae. The record is from RefSeq and is a predicted model, not a curated record.